This 508-nucleotide ribosomal RNA is filed under the name uncultured bacterium. RNAcentral describes it as "partial 16S ribosomal RNA". It matches the Rfam family "Bacterial small subunit ribosomal RNA", at positions 28 to 523 of the family's 1533-position model. The record is from RNAcentral.
GAUGAACGCUAGCUACAGGCUUAACACAUGCAAGUCGAGGGGAAACGACAUCGAAAGCUUGCUUUUGAUGGGCGUCGACCGGCGCACGGGUGAGUAACGCGUAUCCAACCUGCCCACCACUUGGGGAUAACCCUGCGAAAGUAAGACUAAUACCCAAUGACGUCUCUAGAAGACAUCUGAAGGAGCUUAAAGAUUUAUCGGUGAUGGAUGGGGAUGCGUCUGAUUAGCUUGUUGGCGGGGUAACGGCCCACCAAGGCGACGAUCAGUAGGGGUUCUGAGGGGAAGGUCCCCCACAUUGGAACUGAGACACGGUCCAAACUCCUACGGGAGGCAGCAGUGAGGAAUAUUGGUCAAUGGGCGAGAGCCUGAACCAGCCAAGUAGCGUGCAGGAUGACGGCCCUAUGGGUUGUAAACUGCUUUUAUAAGGGAAUAAAGUGAGUCUCGUGAGACUUUUUGCAUGUACCUUAUGAAUAAGGACCGGCUAAUUCCGUGCCAGCAGCCGCCGUAA